Molecule: ribosomal RNA, 509 nt
Filed under: uncultured bacterium
Lineage: Bacteria
Description: partial 16S ribosomal RNA
Rfam family: Bacterial small subunit ribosomal RNA (bases 20-329)
Source: RNAcentral
GACGAACGCUGGCGGCGUGCUUAACACAUGCAAGUCGAACGGAAAGGCCCUGCUUUUGUGGGGUGCUCGAGUGGCGAACGGGUGAGUAACACGUGAGUAACCUGCCCUUGACUUUGGGAUAACUUCAGGAAACUGGGGCUAAUACCGGAUAGGAGCUCCUGCUGCAUGGUGGGGGUUGGAAAGUUUCGGCGGUUGGGGAUGGACUCGCGGCUUAUCAGCUUGUUGGUGGGGUAGUGGCUUACCAAGGCUUUGACGGGUAGCCGGCCUGAGAGGGUGACCGGCGAUGGGGGGAUGGGGGAGCGACGCAGGGUGGGGCGGGAGGCGAGGGGGGGAAAGAGCGAAGGCUGGGGGGGAGCCGGGGGCGAGAGGGCUGGGGGCGGGAGGAAGGCCUUGGGGGGGAAGCCCGCUGCCGUGUGUGACGGGGGUUGAGUGGCGGUAGGGGAUAAAGAAGGACAGGCGAACAAGGGGCAAGCAGCGGAGGUGAUAAGCGAAAGAGCACGUGCCUGAGC